This 21-nucleotide microRNA is filed under the name Cavia porcellus (domestic guinea pig). RNAcentral's name for it is "cpo-miR-676-5p". Its record names the gene cpo-miR-676-5p. The record is from miRBase by way of RNAcentral. Lineage: Eukaryota; Metazoa; Chordata; Mammalia; Rodentia; Caviidae.
UCUUCAACCUGAGGACUCGCA